CCCAACUAAUCCCUCGGGAUUGCGGGUUGCGGGGGGCGGACGAUGGCCUCCCGUGCGCUCCGUCGCGCGGUUGGCAUAAAUACCAAGUCCUCGGCGACGCGCGCCACGACAAUCGGUGGUUGCGAAACCUCGGUUGCCCGUCGUGUGCGGUCGUCGCGCAUCGAGGGCUCG
RNAcentral lists this unclassified non-coding RNA (171 nucleotides) under Prunus wilsonii. RNAcentral's name for it is "internal transcibed spacer 2". The record is from RNAcentral. Lineage: Eukaryota; Viridiplantae; Streptophyta; Magnoliopsida; Rosales; Rosaceae.